CUUGGAACCCUUCCUUGGCUCCUUGAAAGCAUUUUAAGAAUGUGCCAACCCAUAGUAAUAGUAGCAUUUAGAUAAAGAAAAUAUACUUUAUUUUUAGAGGCAAUAAGGUUAAGGGAUUUGCCCAUGGUCACACAAUUAAUAAAUAUACUUAUGUUUAAAAUUUGAGGUGCAAAGAGGAAUAAUAUCUUAAGCAAGUCACUCACCAUACUCUGGACAUCUUACACCCUAAGUUGUAGAGGAAGUACUGGCCUGCAUUGAAAAAGGGCAUUUCUUUAAAUAGAAGUUCCCCUAUGUCAACAAAGUCACUAGCCCAGUAAUAGCUCAAAAUUCCUCUAAGGCUUUUGCAAUACUCUGUACUUAAAGGAAUUUUCAUUAUUAAAGAGAUUUUCCAAAAUUAUAGUCCCUUUCUUCAAUGAGUAAAGUCACAGAAUGGGUAAUGCUAUCUAAGAAACUUCUUAUCACCUUGCCAGCAAGAAACAGAAGCACCAACUUUGACAAGGAGAAUCAAGCCAUUUGAAACUGAUGUAGAGAAUAGAGUGAGCAUUGGGCUCAUAGAUAUCCUCCAGAAAGACUGACACAUAGCAGCUCCAGUGAUUCUUGGCAGGCCAUCCCUAGAAAUAGAGGAAAAAGAAAGAGGAGGCAGAGAAAUGAAUAUGAGUCAGGAAGAUUUGGAUUCAAAUCUCACCCAUGACACUUACUAGCUAUGUGACCAUGUAGAAGAGAAUUUAUCCUUUCAGGCCCCCAAGCAACUCAUUGAGACUGAAGUUCUCUAACAAUCUGUAUCUGUAAAGGGAAUUUUCAGAACUGAGUUCAUCUGCACAAAUAAGAAGAGGGUGAGGGGAAGAGAGACCUUUUAUUUAUUGAUUCUCUUCCUUUUAAUGAACCAAUGAAAUCUCUAAUAUGAAUAUUUUUCUUUAUUCAAAAAUGAAAUUACCAAUUUUAUGAAAUAAUAUUCCAAAGUCUCUUAGGUAUUUAAAAUAUAUUCAUAUAUCAUAAAAAUAAAAUUGGUUUUUAUGUCGAUACACAAAGAUUCAUAAUAAAAGUUCUUUUGUGCAUCCACAAUAUCUAUUUGGAAAAGCAGUGUAAUUCAGAGCAUGGGUCUGUGAAGGACCCUAGGAAGAGGUUAAGUUGAAGAAAUUAUGGAUAUUUGGCUUAGACAAAAGUUAGGGGGACAUAACUGUUCAAAUAUUUGAAGGGCUUUGAUGUGUAAAAAGCCUGAAUUGCUUGGUCCCAGACUACAGAAUUGGGAGCAAUGAGUAGAAGUCUGUGAGAGGCAUUUACAUCUGACAUAAGGAAAAACUUCUGACCAAUCACAACUGACCAAAAUUGUUAUGGGAAAUCUUAGUAGGUAAAGGGUUCUUUCUCCCUUGGAGGUCUUCCAGAAAGAAGGGAAAUAUCAUGGAAGGGAUUCUUAUUACAGAUAGUCAGGAUUUGUGCUAUUUGAAGUUUUAAUUGUAUAAAAAUAUAGCUGGUUCUAGCCCCAAGGUUUUAUGUAGUACUAAUUCAAAUAAUGUGACCUGUUCAGGAGAGCCAUCAUUUGUACUAAUUGGGACUUAAUAAUUAGGGGACUGACUACAUGAGCUCUGUGGUUCUUUUCAAUUCUGUUGUUCUCUAGCUGGGAGACAAAUUCCAGUGGCAGGUUUACUAUUGACUUACUGUGUGACUUUGGGAAAAUCAUUUAACUUCACUGUAUUUUAAUUUCCUUACUUGUGAAAUGAGUAGACCUUCCACUUCUAACAUUCCAUGACUUUCUAUAUUCAAUUCUAAUGCUAAUUAGCCUUUGGUGGUUAAAUGCAAUUAAUUUUUUUGUGUGCUUUACAAUACAUUCAGAUUUUGAUACUCUUCAUUAUGACAGAACCAGUCGUGUCAUUGCUUAAGAAACUAAUGUAUUAUUAUCAAUUUUUU
Molecule: long non-coding RNA, 1905 nt
Organism: Antechinus flavipes (yellow-footed antechinus)
Lineage: Eukaryota; Metazoa; Chordata; Mammalia; Dasyuromorphia; Dasyuridae
Exons: 2
Source: RefSeq, a predicted model, not a curated record